Molecule: ribosomal RNA, 492 nt
Filed under: uncultured bacterium
Lineage: Bacteria
Description: partial 16S ribosomal RNA
Rfam family: Bacterial small subunit ribosomal RNA
Source: RNAcentral
AGUGAACGCUGGCGGUAGGCCUAACACAUGCAAGUCGAGCGGCAGCACAGUAAGAGCUUGCUCUUACGGGUGGCGAGUGGCGGACGGGUGAGGAAUACAUCGGAAUCUACUUUUUCGUGGGGGAUAACGUAGGGAAACUUACGCUAAUACCGCAUACGACCUACGGGUGAAAGCAGGGGAUCUUCGGACCUUGCGCGAUUGAAUGAGCCGAUGUCGGAUUAGCUAGUUGGCGGGGUAAAGGCCCACCAAGGCGACGAUCCGUAGCUGGUCUGAGAGGAUGAUCAGCCACACUGGAACUGAGACACGGUCCAGACUCCUACGGGAGGCAGCAGUGGGGAAUAUUGGACAAUGGGCGCAAGCCUGAUCCAGCCAUACCGCGUGGGUGAAGAAGGCCUUCGGGUUGUAAAGCCCUUUUGUUGGGAAAGAAAAGCAGCAGGUUAAUACCUCGCUGUUCUGACGGUACCCAAAGAAUAAGCACCGGCUAACUUCGUG